Molecule: long non-coding RNA, 4413 nt
Organism: Homo sapiens (human)
Lineage: Eukaryota; Metazoa; Chordata; Mammalia; Primates; Hominidae
Exons: 4
Source: RefSeq, a predicted model, not a curated record
ACAAUGGAUUUACUGCUUCUCUGCAUAUUGGUGUUAUUUUGUAUAAACAAGGUUAACACUCCUUUUAAAUUAAAUGCACCACCUGGUGACUGAGUGGGUGACCUUGCCAGCUUUCUUCACCUGGCUCGGGGAAGCCCAGGCUUUCGCUCCGAUUUCAACCUGUGGCUCUCCUUGGAAUCUCUUUUGCUUCUCACUUAAACAGAGCUCCUGGAGGAGGUUGGCCGGUGACUUGCCCUCUGACCCCGCCGUGGGGGACGAGACCCGAUGGAGGUACUAGGGGCCCCUGCGGCUGAGCCCGUGUCCAGGCACCUUCCACGUGGCGCAGGGCGGAUCAAGGCUUGCCCGGGGCCAGCGCGGGGCUGCCGCCAGCACGAGAGCCUCGGGGACCGCCCUCCUCCGGCAGCCGGUGUCAGCGGAGAGUGACAGACGGUCUGGUGGGCCCUGCCAAGGCAGCCCCUAAAUAGAGAUCUCCAGAGGGGGCAACACCAUAAAAAAGGUUCUUUGUGUUUCACUCUAGCGUGGUAUUGCUCUAAUAUAGAGCUCGGCACUUUCCCCAACCUCUAGGAAUUCGAACACCUGGAAAAAUUCUCCUGGCUUUACAUUGGAGGAAAUUUAAUGGUGUAAACCAACUCUGCAGGGGGGCCCCCUUUGAUUUGAGAAAGCAGUGAUCUGCGGUGCAGUGCUGAGCCGAAGGGGCUUGGAAACGACUUUGCCUGAGAAUGUCCAUUCCUCAAACACUUUAAGGAUGGCUUCGAGUUGUUUAGAAAAAUUUAGGCAGACAGCACCGUCUUGGAAGCAUCUAGAAACUUCGAGAGAAAUAAACUUCAGUUACUCGUUUAAUUACAGGCAUCAGCUUGCCAGUUCCCUGCUAACUGUCCAUUUCCGAAUAGGGCAGAAUUUUUCAGGGGUCUUUGCUGUGCUACUACAGCUUUAUGAAUUGUAGACCGGUUUGUCAGCCUUAUUUUAGCUCGGCAAAUAAGGAAAUCAUACCUGGGAAAGUGAAGUGACUUCCCCAAGGUCACCUGACCCAGAAGCCAAGACUCCAGGCUUGUAAGUUCCAUGAUGUUGAUGCCCUUAUUGUUUCCCUGUGGAGUCCUGCUACCCAGAAAGUAAGCUGUGAGCUAAGGAGAGGAAAAGGCCCAACACCUGCCUGUCAGGGCUCCUGGAUCACGCCCUGCUGCCUGCUGACCUAUAUUGGACUCGAGCCCUUCUUCUGGCAUGCUCACCUGUUAACCCACCUAUCAGCCCACACCUCUGACUGCUGGCUGCUCCCCAUUGAGCCUGAAAUACUGUGCUAUCUGCCUGUACCCUUUUGCAUAAGCUGGGGUUGGGUUAUCUCAGAUUUCUAUUUGGGUCAAGAUUGCCACAUACCUCACCUCUUCUGUUCUGGUCCUCAUCCUGUGUUCCUGGACAAAAAUAACAUUUGAGUAGAAAGCUUUUCUACUUGUUGACAUAGUUGAACAGAUUUUGCUUUAUUGAGAUGAAAUGGAGCCUAAAUUUAUCUGGAAAUGUGUGGAAUCAGUAGAGAGAAGUAAACACAACUCGAAGAAAGCGGGAAACCCCUGUGUACAAUUCAGCUUUUUCACUCCCAGGGAGUUGGGCAUGAUUGUAAAGAAUGAUGUUUUCAAGCCUGCCAAUAACAGAACACGUCUGUAUCCAUUGUGGAUGGGCUUCUUUGAGAAAGCUUCCUUUUCGCCCAAGUAGAGGAGCUCUUCACUGCCCUAAGAUUCUGCUUUCCUACUCCCAUGUCAGAGCAGGAAAAGGUGAAUAUUUUUCACACAGAAUAGCCUCAUCCAUUCCCACGGGGAGUGAGAUAGUUCCUGUAGGGUGCUAGUGAUGGCAUAAAAUUACAGCUCACUAGAGAAACAGUUGCGAGUAAAGAAAUAUAUACAUUUCCUCUAUUUGUGUUCCCUGUCUGUGUUGUCUAAGUUGCAAACAACAGACUCCACUUCAGCUAGGUUAAAGGGAAAAGAGGUUUAAUAAAGAAAAUUAAAUAGCUUAUAGCAUCACUGGGGAACUAGAGAAACAGAUUUAAGGCUAAGCUUCCAGAAACAUAUCCCAAAACAUGCCCCCAAACCGUGACACUGACAUGAAGAGACAGUUGUCAUUGCUGCUUUAUUGAACAGAGGACUGAGAAUUUUUCUACAGUCACUGCUGUUCUCUGCACUGAUGGAAGCCAAGCCUGCCUGGAGAACUCAACUUUGCAACCCAAAGCUGGUGGCUAAUGUGGCUACCCCUACCAACAAAAUGGAAACUCCACCAGGUGUCUGAAUCCAGCUCUCACGACCAUUUAGUGGAGCAGGAAGAAACUGCAGGCCUUUUGGAGGUAUUUCCUUGUGAUUCUGGUCCAAUCCACCACCACCGUCUCACGCUUAGAACCCUGCAAUCCUUCCUGAAGGAGGGCAUUUUGGAAGUGCAACUGGGUCUGCAGUCCUUGACACAGAAACACACUGACUCAACACCUUCUGACGCUGGAGACUUAUGCUUGACAAUUGCCCUUCAAGGAUAAGAAAAAUCCCAGCAAGGCACCGUCCUUGGUUUCAAUGAUGCCCAGAGAAAAGAAAAAGAAAAAAGAAUAUAAAUCUGAUUUCUUUUCCAUUGAAGCAGUUUUAAUGCUUCCAGUGAAACACAGAAAAUAAAGAUUUGUAAUUGGGAGUUCAAGGCCAUCCAUAGCUUCUCUCCUGAGCUUCGUCUCUACAUGUAGAUUUCUUGAGUUCUAGCAUUCCAAUGGUACCAUGUUUACAUCUUUUUAUUUUGGGACCUUGAUGGAAUAAAUGGAGCUAUGUAGUCUACCAGAGUAUGACAGAUAAUGGAUAGCUCGUCAUUUAAAACAAUCUUUUUUGCCGCUAAUAAUUAUACUAGAAUUUUAAAUAUGCUACCUCUUCCACCAGAUGGUCUUGAAUAAUGCUUCCAUCUACUUAAUUGUGCUUUUUGUAAAUCAGUUGCAUAAAAUCUUUUGAUGCAGUUUCAAAGAUCCCUUUUGUAGAAGCACGGAGAUCAUGUAAUUGGCUGAGAACAACUAUCCAGUCUGAGAGGAUGACCUUUUACCCUCUACCCAAAAAGAGCACUCCAGAGAGAAAGGUGCCGUAAUCUGGGUUUAAGGCUUCUUACCAUCAUGUGGAGAGCCUGUUUCCUGUGCCACACACACAGUGGCAAGAAAGCUCAGCUUCAACAUUAAUGUAGAACUUCCCACGUUGCUCUUGAGAAAAUCCACUCCUUAAAGAGGAAGAAAGGACCUCACCCCAUGCCUCCCUCCCUCGGUGGAGAUGCCCACACAUGGGCACUCGGAACCAGUUGCAGGCAACUGUGAAUUGGGAGGAAGGAAAGAAGAGAUUAGGACUGAAAGAGGUGAGUAUGUUCAAGUCUGUUUCUAGUGUAGAGAUAGCGAGAUGGUCACCCGUUAAUUCAUUUGCAAGGCUGAGAGUAAUGCUGAAUCCUGGCUUAGGACACCAGUAGAUGACUUCCCAACAAAUAAGUGGACAAAAAGAUGACACCACCACCUGAAGGAACUUUUAAAGCAAUGAAUGAAGCACCUUGAAAAGUUAGAUUUUGGUUAAGAGACACAUCCCCAAAGUUAAAUGAAAAGGUAGAACCUGGCUUUGCAAAACUGAUGAAAAAUGGCCAUGUAUGCUACAAAGUAAGACCCUUUUUUUGACAUUUUUUUUUUUCCAUGAGAGUCAACAGGGGAAAGUUUGGCUAAUGUUUUCUAUCACUAAAGACUUAAAAAAUAACUGGAAACAUUCCCAUAGGCUUUGUUUGUUUGUUUUUAAGAGGCUUGUUUCUCGUUUUUCCAUGCAAAUUAAAAUUCCUAGUGUGGCUUCUAUAAAUUUGAACUUUUGAAAACUUUCCCUUAGCAUUUGGCUCAAAGUGUAGCUGGCACUUCCGUGUGACAACAGAGAAAUUUCAGUUCUGCUUUUCUUCAGAGCUGCGUGUUAUGGGUUAGAUAAGUAAACUUGGCUUUCUCUGUUCUAACGACAGUGUGUCCAGGGAAGCUGGAAGAAGAAUGGCUCCAGGGUUCCUGUCGAUGCCAGAUUUCACCAGCGCUACCCUGCUUUUAUCAGUUUUCCAUAUAGAGCUUUCAUAAAGGUUUUCUUUUUCUGUUUUUUAAAUUGUGGUAAAAUACAUAUAACAUAAAAUUUACCAUCCGUGACACUAACUGCAUUUACCAUGUUGUGAUGCAACCAUCACCACGAGAACAUUUUCACCACCCCAAAAGGAAACCCCAAACCCAUUAAGCAGUUACUCUUCAUUUUCCCUCUUCCACCAGCCCGUGGCAACCACUAAUCUGCUUUCUGUCUGUGUGGAUUUGCCAACUCUACUUUUUAUGUUUCAUAUAAAUGGAAUUAUGCCAUAUACAUAACCUUCUAUGUCUCACUGCUUCUACUUACAAUAAAUGUUUUCAAUCGAAGUUCA